UGGGCCUUUCUUUCGUAUUUCCUGAUAACCCCAUGCAGAAAUAGACAAACACCAAAACUCGUGGAAUUCUGUCAGAUAAAAUCCUAAGUCUAGGUGUUGGUUGCAUUUGGAUCCUUUUCUAUGAUUAGUUGACGGUUAAAUGUGAGCUUUAAGGACCGUCAACAAGCUCCCCCAAGCUUAACCUUUGCUCGUCCCUGAGCAAAGAUGGACUCAAGAGUUUCUGCAGUGGUUUCAUGCCUUAAAGAUAUACAUGCGUUCAAACAAGAUCUCUUCUCUAGGUUAGGGUAACUGUUAAGAUUUAAACUUACUCAUAUUACCUUCCACCAUGGGGUUUGUAACCGUCACUUCUGUCUUGAGUAGUUAAAAGAUAGAACGGUCUAGUCAAGCGCCAUGUCUCUUGUUCUUUGAUUAACUAUAGCUCUGGAGUUUUUUUUGCAGAUUUUCAAAUAAAACUCAGAGAUUCCUUGUAUAACUCUCUCUAGUCUCUCUUUUGUGGUAUUUCUGGAUCCUUACCAAGGCAGUGAUGGUAUAUGCCUUCUCUCAAAGUAUGUGGUAUUUUUGGUAUGAGGCAUAGUGACAUUGCCUUUUCUCUCACCCUACUCUAAUAAGGCUUUUGAUAUCUGGAGCUCAUAGGUGGGAGACAACUAUACAUACUUACAAGACAUUUAUUGCAUAGUCAAACCAUGGAUCCAGAGAAACAAGUCAAUAAGUCAAAUCAAGAUGUGCAUGUGUGGCGAAUGAAUGGUGCAUGGUAAUGAUGGUGAUAACAAUGGUGAAAAUCUAAUUCUACUUUUGCUCUUUUGAGGGGAUACAUACCUUCCUUGCUCUUUUGAAACUUUUGGGGAGAAUAAGAUGCUCUGUAUUUUCUUUUUCUUUCCUCUCAGGUGGGUAUCUUGUACCCCUAAUUCUACUAUUGGACACUUGUCCAUUUUUACCUCUCGUCUCACUUUUUCUUUUCUUUCGAGGUUCCGGGCACUUGCCCCUUUUUAUUUCCUCGUAUACUUUUUUCUUUUUUUUCUUUUUUUUAGAGCACUCAUCUCAUGAGAUAAUAUAGCAAGUGGUAGUAACAAGAUAACUUGAGCAUUUAUUUCACAGGGGAAAAACAUGAAUAUUUUUGGCUAUUCUCUCCCGGAUUAGGAGUAGAAUAUUUUUGGGUGGUUCUGGAGAUGGAAAUGGUUGGAUAUAUGUGGAUGCAUACUUCCGGAGUAGAAGCAGCAUGUGUAAGUGAACGUGCAAGUGAAUCUUGAUUUAACCGCAUGACAAGCUCCUAAGGGUCUACACAGCUUGACCACACUCAAUGCUCAUAAGUAGUAAAGUAAAUGUGUGGUUCAUAGUCUAGCAAGCAUGUAUAUAUGGCUAUGGUAGGAAUUUAAACUCUCAUCAUACAGGAACUCAUCAUGCAACAUUUUAAUGAUCUUCAAACAUAAAAUUCUCCAGAAUUCUAGCAUCUCUAGGAACAGAUAAACAGCAGCUCAACCUUCCCAUAUCAUAUCCGUUAACAACUUAGACUUUAGAUCAAGUACUCUCCCCACAAGUUCAGGUUUAGAGCAAAUCUUAAUUAAUAACAGUCAUGCCUAAACUUGAGAGAGAUUUCAAUUUUUAGAACUAAUCAUAGCAGAGCAACUAUUCAUCAUUUCCAUGUGAGAGCUUAUCAUGAGGGUUCAUAGCAAACUUUAUUUAUUUAUUUAUUAAGCAAACUAAGCAAAGAUAUAUAUAUAAGCACAAAAUCUUUAUUUGGGUUUUUAUGAUUAUGCAUCUUUUUAUUAUUUAAGUAAAAUAUAAACGUGAGUAGAACAUUAGCUAGAUAAAUGGGGGUGCUCUCCCACAAGCUGGAUUUUGACGUAAUUUCUUUUGAUGUAGCUAGCAGGUGAUGGAGGUGUAUUUGAAUGUCGGAAUCACUCUGACAGCGAUUAGGAUGUCCUCCGUCUGCUAGUCUUCUUUGAUCCUUGAAUUCUGUGGAGCUCAAAUAGACAACAAAGCUUUGUGGAACUAGUUAAGUGUUAGCAUAAAUAUCUAGCCUUUAUCAUGUUGAGCCUCCUCAAUAAAUGUUACUCUUUUUAGUAGGAUCAUAAAUCUUUUUAUAGGACAGGAAUAUAUUUAUUUUAUUUUUACACCACCACAGUGAAUGUACUUAUGGGUUUUAUGCCAUGAGCAUACUCACAUGGGGCUUACUAUUUUUAACAUUUUUAUUUUCUUUUCAAGAUGAUAUGAACCUGAUUAACUAAGCAAACUAUUUUAAAAUAAUUAAAAGGAAAAAGAUAACUACCAAGUUUACCUCUUGGCAAGGCGUUCAGUGUUUUUAAGUCCUCCGAACGGGACUCUCCGUUUCCUCAGUCGUCCUGGGAUUCGCUGGAUGGCGUAGUCGGUGGUUCCGGCGGCGCGUGCUCUUCGUGUAUCACUAUCUUCUCUCUCCACACCUGACUCGGUGCUACGGUCUCCUCAGGAUAGUUCUGUUCAAGCUGUAUGUCUUCAGACCUUACUACUUCUCCUUCAUAGUCUGCCCAUCCGUCCUUGAUGAUUUGCCUCCUCUGGUUGCGGUUGCGUUGUCUUCUUCUUGUCCUGACCUGAUUAGAGUCUUCAACUAUAUAGUUAAGGUCAGUAAAAUAACGGCGUACCUUCUUAGAGGGGAAGUGCAUGUGGACUUCUCAGGUCCAAUCUAGAUGAUUGCUUUAACGGUGCUGAGGAACAAUCUCCCAAGGACGAUGGGUGGAUCGUACUCGUCUUCUCCCAUAUCAAUAACCUGAAAAUCUUUCGGAAUGUCUCAUCUGCCAUCUGGAGCUGAAUGUAUGUCGGUUUUAGGGGCAUGGUUCCGAACAGGAGUUGAUAGGUGACUACGGCCAUUAUGUUGACACCUGACCCGAUGUCGCAAAGCAUCUUCUGGAAGUUGUAUCCAUUAAUGGAGCACUAGAUGCUUGGCAUACUUGGGUCGUCCUUUUUGGUCAGGAACGGUGACUUAAGUCGACGAUCUUGACCUCCUUGAACUGUAGUGACCAUCUUAGCUGACUCGGUCCAUAUUUGCUUGUUCCUGUUCCUCCUGUUGGUCCUCUUCCUUGGUUCAUGUCGGGAUUGCUCUAAGAUCUGUGUAGUCUUGUUCUUGAAGGAAAACAUCUCCUUCCUCCCCUUGAUGUAGAAACUGAUCUUGGCAGCACUAGCGUAGAUGACAGCUCCCAAGGUGUUCAGGAAUGGCCUCCGUUGAUUUCAACCUUGAUUUUAUUGAGGACGGUUGUAGUAGUUGUUGUUGUUUAUGUAGUUUAUUUACAUCCUCAAGCAUCUCAGGGCAGUGAUUGCCUGAUUGUCCAGUAUCUCCAUUGUGUUUGUGCUCGUAGAUCCAGGUUCUUCACUUGGUGGAGUCUGGGAGUUGUAAAACUCCUUCAUAUUUUGCUCGAAGUGUAUCUUCUCAUAGAGACAAAGCAGAGAUCAAGUGCAUGGGCCCUGUUGGUGGAAAACACCAACAGAACCAAAAGUGUAUUUGUUCUUCUCAAUCCUUAAGCAUAGUGAACAAGACAAAGUUGAUGGAUAAAAAGAUCAUGAGUGUAGCAUUUAAAACAUUUGUCAGAUUAGAUCGCUCAAUCUAAUGGAAAGAUAAUCUAUCUAUAUUUAUGUUGUUUUUUUAUAUAUCUUCCAAAGAUUGAGUGUGCAACAUUUUAGCUCAUAUGAUUAGGAGUGUGGGAUCACAAAGGUGGAAGGACUAAACGUAUUGAAUCGAUUGGGUUGGUUAAUCUAGAGUUGUAAAUCAUACAUGUUUGUCUCUUUUAUUCAUGUGAACGCUAGAACCAAGGAGAAACUUAUAAAAGUGAUAGACAAGUACCUUAAGAUGUUACCUUACUUGAAGAGUGAUGGUACAGUAUCACCUUGUGGAAGCUUUCCUUUCUUAGCGGUUGUGCAUCAUGUUUGUAGCACCCUCCAUGGAUCAUCUCUUGUGAGCUAUGCCUUCCUUGUGUAAAUUGUUAAACUUUAUGUGUCUCUCUCUUUGUCUCCAAUGUGAGUUUAUCCCAGGACUUCCCAGGUCAAUAUUGAAAGUUUUCCUACAGGGGUUAGUCCAACAAAAUAUCCAAUAUCUACUAUAGCAUACUAUCGGCUCAAAAAUCGACCUAGACACCAUGUCUAAUUUGAUUCAGGAGGGCAUUUUAACCUAAGCAUCAUGCUUAAUUUAAACUCCCUUGGAAGUAAGAUCAUCAUUCCUAAACUAAGCACCAUACUUAAUUAAGAGAUAAAUGAAACUACUCCAAACCUAGACAUAUACUAAAGCAAAUAAAGGUAGCAUGAGAGCAUUUUUAGAGAUCUACUCAAGUAGAGAUGAAGUAGUGUGAUUAGUAUUUAACAAAUUGAGCAUGUCUCAAAGGUAGGGACAACCAACAUAGCAACAUGGCAAAGGAUGUUUUUAUGUAAAGUACUCCCCCAAGCUUGAAUUUUGCAAAAUUCAAGUUUGGAUGAAUUUAAUUCAAUGUUGUAUGAUGAUUGGUUGGACAUACCUUGUGCUUGUCAUUCAUUCGAUCUUCUUGCUCCAAUCCUGGAAAGGUUAGUGACAAGAAUACCCGAAGGAUUUUUUUUUACAAUUAUCCUUAUAUGCUGAAUACACAAGGUAAUGUUGCAAAUAAUUAAAAGUUCAUGUUAUGAUCUGAUCAGUGCUUAUUUUAGGACACUAAGCUUGUAUUUGGGAAACCAUCAAUUUAUGUCGGCGAAGUGGUUUCCCCUCCAACGCUAACCUAUAUCAAGAUCAACUCAACGAGAUCUGCAAUAUUUAAUAUAAACAUAUGCAUCGACAACCGCCCUUUUAAAGUUUUUAUAAAUAGAAAGGAUGAGGGGGUGGAGAUCUCGAAUGUGGUGAUGUUGGAGAGACCAAUGGAUUGUGAAGAUGUUGCAUAAAUUCCAUGCUCAUUAAUGCUUAGAGUGAAAUCCAUGUGGUAUGGUGAAAAUGGUAAGGUGAGUGUGGUAAAAAAGGAAAAGAAAAAGGAUACACGGACGACUUGGUUCGAAACUAGCACAGCUACCGUUCCCCGGCAACGGCGCCAGAAAGCUUGUUGGGUAUUUUAAACGCAAACAGAAAAAUCCGCAAGCGCACGGAUACCGAUGUAGCCUUCACCCGGGAGUAUUCCAGAGUAUCGAUUUUCCACAGGGAACGUGAGUGUACUAAUUAAGAUCAAAGAUCGCCCAAGGAUAACUAUAUAAUUAUUUUUGGUGGGAAGAGAGGAAGUUUCCUGAGAGUUCUCUACUUGAUCUAAGCAUCAAGAAUUACUUCAAGAUUAUCUAUAUCGGGACAUCAGAGUACUAACCACAGAAAGAAAUGAGAAGGGGGCUAGGAAGGUCUGACUACGGUCCUACAAACACCGAUCCGAACGAGGUGGAAUACGUCGACCGUUAGGGCUGUCACUACCCUAGGGCUACCACAACAAUCCGCAGGAUUGGGUGCAAUUCCAGGUAAUCGUAAGACUAAACACCACGUCUAAUCUAUUAAUUACUACUCUAGCGUUAUAAAGACUAGAGCACUUGAUGCAAGCGGGAAUCCAAUAAAUAACUUGAAUGUAAAUAAAAGUAAUUAAAGAACUCAGGAAUUAUGAAUUGAAGAACCUGGAGAACGAUGAAGAACGAACCAGAUGCUGCAAAAGUAUAAUGUUGAGGAAGAUCCGACAGAUCCGGCUCCUCCUCCGCUCUCCUCUUCUCUCUCCCUAUUUUCUAGAUUACAACUAGAACUAAUUAGAACUAGAACUAGAGGAACUAGAACUAGAUGAACUAGAGCUAGAUCUAGAUGAACGAGAGGUAGAACUAGAAGAACUAGAGGGAUCCUCUCUACUUGGUUGAAGAAUUGAAACCCUAGCUUUGAUUCUGUAGAAGAGGUAUGAUCUCCAGGGGCCAGAGGGUCUGGUUUUAUAGUCCCUUCAAGUGUAUAUGGGCCGUUGGAUCAAACCGACAUUGAUUGAACGGUUAUCCUUGAUCCUUUAGGUCGGUGGAGCAAUAUCCCCAAAUUGGACUCUGUUUGGUGGAAAAAGGUGGGCGGGCGCCCUCAGGACUAGGGCGGGCGCCCUGUCCCUGAGGCCUCUUGGCUUCCGCUUUGUUCCCGUGGCUUCUGGAGUCUUCUAGAUGAUAGAAAAUUGCACGGCACGUUAAUAUCUCUAUGUAAACCCGAGGUGUGGGCCUUUCUUCCGUAUUUCCUGAUAACCCCCUGCAGAAAUAGACAAACACCAAAACUCGUGGAAUUCUGUCAGAUAAAAUCCUAAGUCUAGGUGUUGGUUCCAUUUGGAUCCUUUUCUAUGAUUAGUUGACGGUUAAAUGUGAGCUUUAAGGACCGUCAAAACUCUGUCUCCAAAUAGACCAAAGUGAGAUUCCAUAUGACACAUAUCAUCUAAGAGUUCUAUUGCGAUGCAUCCAAAUAGAUUUCUUAGCAUAUGGUAUGUUCCAUGAAAACCGUGCACCUAUCUUUCAUCAAGAUUAGCACUAUCUCCAAAUAGAUCGAACCGACCUUCCACUUGAGCCUCUUCACCUAUGAGUAUUAUUGGGUGCUUCCAUAAUGGUUUCCGAGCCUAUGGUGCAUUAUGCGCAAACCAUGCACCAAUCUUGCACCUAAAUUGUCUCCAAACGGAUUGAAGCAAGAUUCCAUAUGACACACAUGAUCUAGGAGUUCUAUCGGGUGCGUCAAAAUUGAUUUCCGAGAAUAUGAUAUGUUCCAUGCAAACCAUACACCUAUCUUGCAUCAAGAUUAGCACUAUCUCCAAAGAGACCGAACGAGGCUUUCACUUGAGCCUCUUCACCUAGGAGUACCAUCGGGAACUUCCACAACAAAUUUUGAGCCUAUGGUGCAGUGGGCACAAACCAUGCACCUAUCUUGCACCGAAACUAAUACUAUCUCCAACUGGACUGAAGCGAGAUUCCAUAUGAUACACUUCAUCUUGUAGUUCCAUCGGGUGCAUCUACAGUUCCAUCGGGUGUGUCCAAAUUGAUUUCUGAGCAUAUGGUAUGUUCCAUGCAAACCGUGCACCUAUCUUGCAUCAAGAUUGGAACUAUCUCUAAACAGACAGAACCAAGGUUCCACAUGAGCCUCUUCACCAAGGAGUACCAACGCGUGCAUCCAAAAUAGUUUAUUAGCCUAUGGUGCAUUAGGUUGAAACCGUGUACCUAUCUUGCACCGAAACUAACACUAUCUCCAAAGAGACCGAAGUGAGAUUCUAUAUGUAACACAUCAUCUAGGAGUUCUAUUGGGUGCUUCCAAAUAUAUUUCUAAGCAUAUGGUACGUUCGAUGCAAUUCGUGCACCUAUCUUGUAUCAAGAUUAGCACUAUCUCCAAACAAAGCAAACUGAGCUUCCACUUGAGCCCCUUUACCCAGAAGUAUCAUCGGGUGCAUCCAAAAUGGUUUCUUAGCCUAUGAUGCAUUAGGCGCAAACUGUGUACCUAUCUUGCACCAAAACUAACUCUGUCUCCAAAUAGACCAAAGCGAGAUUCCAUAUGACAAAUGUCAUCUAGGAGUUCUAUUGCGAUGCAUCCAAAUAGAUUUCUUAGCAUAUGGUAUGUUCCAUGAAAACCGUUGUCGGUGUUUUCCCCACGGGGGGUCACACCAACGAAUAAAUUUGUGUGCGUGCUCCCUUUCCCAGAUGGUGAUGCAAGAAGACACAGAGAUUUAUCCUGGUUCGGGCAAGAGAAGGUCCUACGUCCAGCGGGAGAGGGAGGUUUGUAUUAUCUUGCACCUAAGUGCUUGUACAGGGGUGAAUACAAGUGUGGUGUGGAGUAUGGGAGUUCUACUGCGUAUGGGUGAAGUGUUGCCUGAUGAUCCUCUUCUCUAUUCCCGGGUCUCCCCUUUUAUAGCUCCAAGGAGAGACCCAGGGUACAUGUAUAGGUGUCAGAGUAGGGGUCGACAAGAGCGUGGAGCGCUGACCUACUUGAGGCCUCCGUACCGGUAUGGCCUCGAGCCGUCCCGUCUUGGUAGCCUGGUGAUGAUUACGUGUGCCCCUGUAUCCCGCUCUGCGCGCCGUCUCGAGCUGGUUUACCAGUCGCACGCUUGUACUGCAUGGUGGCUGAUCCGGCGGAGUGGUUGCGGUGUUGUCAGUCGACGCCCGACUCGUCUCUAGGAAGGAACCAUGUCCGGUCGAGGGUCGGACGCCACGCAAUGUCCUGAUAUCCGGAGCGCUGACCUUGGUUGUCUCGAGGGGGUCCCGAUUGGACGUUCUGUCCCUGCUUCCCGCGUCUUGACACGCCCUGGGUCGUUUGGUGGGGAAGGCUGCAACAAGAACGACGGGACGGGUGCCUGUUCCCUAUCACGCUUCCCGUGAUUAGCGCGUUAGGUGGAAAAGCGACAGGCGCAUUAAAUGCCCUGGCUCUCGUGCGCGUGUCAAGCGGCGGGCGGCGUCCUUGCGCUCGAUGCCUCCGGGUUCGCGCGAGCCCGCUUCCGUACUCGACGGUAGCUAGCGCUCGACCCUUGAUUGAUUCGCCCGAUGCCAUUUCCGUCUUUGAGGCUGCGGCCUUCGAUUGCUGCGCAUAUGUGUGACCAAAGCGUCAAGUUGAGGGCCUCGACUUGCGUACGGAUAAUCUCGUUAGGUGCAUCGGUGAGGGUACCCCUUACUGAUACCCUCGACAGUAGCCCCCGAGUCUCCAUUUGAGCGCUGGCGCUCGAGUGGAGGCUUUGUUUUUGCGAUCGAACUUCCGUGGGGGCGCGCGAGCGACCCCGCGGGGGUAGCCCCCGAGCCCUUGAAGGAGUUUUUGACUCCUUCGAGGGUUAUUUUGCCUAAUUUGCAGAAAUGCUAUCGACACCAGUGGUGGAAGGUUCUAAUUGGCUUGCUUUGCGCGGAGGUUUCGAUGUACUCUCGAUAGAGCGAGCGUCUUCCACCUCAGAUUGAGUUCCUAGCGGGUAGUCCAAGUGAGAACCUAUGCCCCUUUCAAGGGGGUCAGCUGUAGCCCGGAGGCGUUCUCAUAAAGCAGGGUCGUCGUGGUCGGGGAUACCGGUCUCAUUUGAUAGAGUCGAGCGGCUCGAUGCCUCCCGUCGGGGGGAUUCCUCUCGACUGUCUCGACCCUACCUUGGACAUCCCCAGCGAGUCUUCGAGGCAGGCCUCGAUCUUCGACCGCUCGCUGGGGAUCCCUGACUCCGGUGUUCGAGAUCGGCUAUCGAACCCUUUCGGUGGGCCAGCCUGCGACCUCUCGAGGCUUUCGCGGGUACGCCCCUUGGCUUACAAGGGAAGGAAGUGGCCGCGGCGGUUCGCCUUUUUGCCCGUUGGGCGCGCCUUUUUAGGCGGAUGACGUUACGACACUGCGUCGGCGUGGAAUUCGGAGUGCCCCGCCUGUGAAGGGGGAGAGACUGUUAGGUGGCGCAUUUAUGGGGGGGCGUUACCUCAUUUCUCGGAUCCGUCCGUUGGCGGAUCGUUGCCUAUAAAUACGCCGUGGCACCGCCGCCGCUCUUCCUUCUUCCUUCCGCCUCCUUGCCUUCAUCCUUUCGUCGCCUUAGUUCUCUUGCUGUCUUACUCACGCGCGCGCGCCCUCGAGCAGUAGCGAAUCCACCGUCCUUUCAGCCAGGAUGCCAGUGACACUCAUCGCCGCCGACGACUGGCGCCCAUCGUCGAUGACGGAGCGCCGGCUGCUAGAGCUCGAGAGUGAGGGACUCUUGCGUCGCCGCACCUCGCUGUCGUCGCCAGAGUGGAUCGCGCCGCCAGCGGGCCACAGGGAGCCCCAGCCGCCCGAGGGCUAUGUGGUGUCGUUUGCCAAGUUCCACCGCCACGGCCUAGGCGCUCCCCCGAGCCGCUUCAUGCGGGCACUCUGCUACCACUACAGGGUGGAGCUCCAGCAUUUUUCCCCGAACGCCAUCACUGUCGCGGCGGUCAUCGCCGCGGUGUGUGAGGGCUACCUGGGGAUGAUGCCCCACUGGGAGCUGUGGCUCCAUCUCUACAGGGGCGAGCUUUUCAACACCCCCACCGGAACUACCGGCGUAAGGAAGCACGUGCGGGCCGGGUGCCUCAACCUGGUGCUGAAGACGAAGAAGACGGAGAGGCCGCGCGAGUAUAUCCCGGUGGGGCUGUCGUCGAACCACGCUGGGUGGGACUCCCAGUGGUUCUACUUGAGGAACGACGACGGUCUCUUCCCGGCUUACACGGGCCGUCUGAUUACAGAGCGCCCGGACAACUGGACAUACGGCGUCGUCCAAGAGCACCAGUCGCGGCUCGACCCCCUCCUCGAUGCCAUGAAGAAGCUGCGCCUGGAGGGCCUGUCCACCGCUCUCGUCCUCUCAGCCGUCCAUCGUCGAAGGGUCCUCCCUCUGAUGUCUCGGCCGUUGAGGAUGGAUGAGAUGGGGCCGGGCGUCUCGUCCCGGGAUCUCGAGGCUUGCCGGAUGUCCAACGUGGCUCUUACGGACGAUGAGAUCGCCGCCUGGGUUAGGGCGGCCAUCGCCGGUGACUUUAAGUCGAAGCACGUCAACGGCUUCCCUAUGAGGCCCGACGAAGGCUCGGUCGAUCUGGUAUGUUUUCUUCUUCGCGCGCAACCUUGAUUCUGGGUUCCUUUUCCUCCUUUUUUUUAAAUCCACCUUUAUUUUGGCAGGGGCGGAUCGACGUCCGGUCCUCGAGGCCUCCGGUAAGGGAGGACGAGGUUGAUCGCGACGCGCGGCGCCGGUCCACCGAGAAAUCGAAGUCCGCCAAGGACUCUAAAAAGAAGGGGGAGAAAAAGAAAAACCUCGACCGCCAAGCCUUAGAGGCACGUCGGUCCAAAUCCAGGCAGAGAGGAGAGCCUGAGGAAGAGUCCCCCAGCGACGAAGAUGACGAGGAUAGUGAUGACUCCGAGGGGAUGGCAUCUCGUCUUGACCAGAUUCUCGAGGGUCCACCUCGAGGCGGUGUCGAUGCUCCCCGGACAGAAGCUCCGACGGGGGGUCCAGGCGGAUCCCACCGCCCUCGCGCCGUCACCCCUCCUGCGCCUGCGGCUGGUCAGGUCGCCCCGCGCCCUCCUCCCGUGCCCAAGACAGGUGGCCACGCUAGGUCCCAGGCAACGGGGCCGUUAACCCGCGGUCGCGCCGCGGCCUCCGAGAAGGGCGAGUCUGUCCGCAGGAGCGCCAGUCCCGGUGUCCGUCAAGCGGAGGCUACCGGGCCAAGGCCGGCGCCUGUCUUCGAGGGGUCCGGGACGUCGACGCGGGGUGGCUCGAGGCCCACCGGUCGGGGUACUGGUAGACGAGCUGUUCUUCCUGUGGGGUAAGCUUUUCGAAGUUGUGACUUUUGUUUUCCCAUUCCCUCGCGUUUCCUUGUAUUCUGGUCUUUUCAUGCUCGUUCCCCACUUUUUAGGCUAAAGCGGACGCUCGAGCAGGACCAGCCCUCAAUGGCGAAGAGGCUCAAGGCUGGAGCAGCCUCCAAGGGGCAAGGUUUGUAGUUUGUUCCUGGGUCUUGCGACGUUCUUAUGUUGGUUAUUACAGUGACCGACCUUUAUUCUUUAUUUCGCAGGCUCCUCCGACUCUCAACCUCCGGACGACGCUGGGAGUGCUCCGUCUUGUCCCGAGCCUACUCCGAUGCCGCCGACGCGUGACGAGGCGCCCCAAACUCAGGGGCAAGAAGGAGCCCCCGAGCCUCCCCGAUUGGGGGACGAGGCGGACCCAUCACCAUCAGCGACACGUCUGGUGGUAACGAGGCGUCUGGGGACGCCCACCCUAUGGAGGAGGAGGCGUCGACCUCUCUCAUCUCGGGACGGACUCCCUGGCCCGCUGGCCUUCAAGCCCUCGAGGACCAGAAGGAGAAAGAGGAGGAGGAGCGGGAGCAGGAGCACGAGGCGACGCGACAGCCACAGGAGCAGCAGCAGCAACAGCAACAUCAGCAGGAGGAUCAGCAGCAGCAGGAGCAGCAAACGCUCGAGGGGCAGCGACAGCAGCAGCAACAGGGGGGCCAAGAGGAAGGACCGCACGAGCCCCCGCCUCAAGGUCUGGCCCAACCAGUACCACCAGCGCCGCAAGAGCCCGGCGAGUAGGAGGAAGAUUUGCCGGUGUACGGCCCUCCAACCCCGGCGUGGCUCCUUCCGGGGGCGCCCGCCGCGAUCCGGGCGAGCGGAUGGCGUGGUGGCACUUGCCUGCAUGAUGCGCACCCCCACCGACCCCGAGUCCGAGAUCAAGAGGACGAUCUACGGCAUGGACGGGAUCGCCCCAGGGUUCGUCCGGGAGCGUCGAGCGUGGGAGGACCGCUUUCCCUCUGAGGAGGAUGAGAUCGGGUCGUCGGGGAGUAAGGACGGUACCUGGAAGACGGUGGACGACGACGGGCGGUUCCCAUGCCUCAUCGACCUGUUCUUGCGCCACGGGGGCUCCCUCGAGACCGUUGAGAACCUUAUCCGUGGCGUCAAGGCACGGGCUGAUCGAGAGAUGGAGAACUGGUGCCCCGACCGGAUUCGUAUCCGGGCUUCCACCGAUCCGUCCGAGCCCAACAUCUUCCUCGACGAUAAGAAGGAGGCCGAGAAGUGGGAGCAUGUCGAGGAGCUCCGCCUUUGGAUGAAGCACGUGGUGGGGCUCCUGUCGGACAUUAUCAACAACGGGCUCGGGCCGGCUUAUUUUGUAAGUGCCUUUCGAUCUUUUACCCUCAUGGGGCCUUUUGGUUUUGCACUCUAACUGUUCGACCGCCGGCUCGCAAGAUAUGAAAGUGACGUCCCGCAUCAAGUCGAGCUUCAUCCACGCCACAAGAGGCGGCUGGGAGCAGCUCCCCAUCCUCAAGGACCAACUCCUCAAGUCGCAAGAGAAGCUCCUUCAGGCCUACAAAGAUCUCAUAGCGCUCGAGGAGGAGAAGAAGGCGAGGGAGGCUGCCUUGGUCGAGGCUCGAGAGGCCUCAAGGAAGGUGGAGGAAGAGACGACGCUGCUGCGGGAGCGGGCUCUGACGGUCGAGGAGGCCGCGUCCAGAGCCCAGGAGGAGGCCCUGUCCUACAAGAGCGUCAUUGCAGACCUGGACAAGGAGAACGGCCUUCUCAAGACCGACCUGGACUCCCUCCGGGAGUCCUUCCAAAAGAUGAAGGUGGAGCACGUGAACGGCGAGAUCGCCAGGAGCGCCGCGGAGGAAGCCAAGAAGGAGGCCCUCGAAGAUCUCGAGGCGGAGCGGGCUCAAUCCUGCAGGCUCUCUGACGACGUCGAACGUCUGAAGGGAGAGCUGUUGGAGAAGAGCGGGGCCAUUGCUCAGGCUGGCAAGGCGAUCGAGGAUCUCCGCGUCGCCAAUACUGAGCUGGUACGCUCCAACAGAGAGAUUGAGAGGGCCAACACCAGACUGGUCGGCGAGAACACGGCCCUGGAGGAGAGCGUCUGUGGUACGUUUCCUUUGUCAGAUUUAUUUUUUGAGGUGUGCUUGGUUUUUCCUAAAGUUUCAUGUAUUGGCAUUUACAGGGCUUAAGGACGAACUCCUAGCUGCCCAAGUCGAGGCCCGUAAUGCUAAGGCCCAGCUCGAGGUGGAGGUUGCUUUGAACCGUCGCGUGCGGACGGCGAUAAGCGACCUCUCGACCUCUUGGGAGGUCGAGCCUAUGGAUGAGUCAAGGGAGGACGCUCGAGGCGACGCACUGGUUGACCAGCUGUGCUACAUAGGCGCGACGCUGCGAGAUCGGGUGCGGGAUGCCCUCCACAUCGGGGUGAAGCGGGCGAUGGCGGUUGUCUGCUCCGGCUUCUCCUACGACAUGGAGGUGGUGUCCCAUGGCUUUGUCACCGACAUCUCUAAGACCGACGCGGAGAACGAAGAGAGGCUCCACGCCUUGAUCGACGACGCGGAGGCUCCUAGAGAGAGGCUGGCCAAGAUAUUUGAGCCUGAGGUGCUUCCUCCCGAGACUAGCUCGGGUGGAGGCGAGGGGGGUGAGGAUCGUGCCGUGGACUAAGGCCUGCGAGCCUGCUUUGGGUGCCUGGGGCCCCUUGUACAGUACUCUCAUUAACUUGUUUUUUAAGUGAUACAAUGUCUUUAAAUAUUUGUUAAAUGUUUAUCUGUCUUUCCGUUCGAGGCUUUUUGUUUCCCUUUGCUCCUAUGUUUGUAUUCCUUGUUCGACCUUUCGUCAAAAACAGCCUCGAUCACCUCAAGGGUGGGGAAAUGAGUAGAGUUUCCCUAGCCCGGGGGCGUAGGAGUUCUGGAGCUCGUUGUCCCUCGGCCCUUAAGGGGCUCGAGGUGCCUCAACUACUCGAACAUGCAAGGUUUACUAAGUAAGGAAGAGAGAAAUUUUUUGGCUUUUUUCGACACUUGGGGGGGUUGCCCCCCUGGUAGCCCCCGAGGGGGUGUUGACUAUGAUGGGUCGUAGUCGGCGCCCCCUUCUAACAUCGAGAUUAUGACUUGUAAAGCCUUGGUAUAAAAAGAAGUUGCUCGAGGGAAAGACUUCAUUUAUUCAUGCAUUUAUUUACAAAGUCUCGGUACAAAAUACACGCAGGAACAUAAAGCUUUGAACUUCUAGGGGUAGAAUCGACGUAGCUGUCCGAUGUUCCACGCGUUAGUGAAGACCGCCUCCUUCUCGUCCGCUAACUUGUACUUUCCUGGCUUCAAGACCUCGGCCACCACGUACGGGCCUUCCCAAGGCGGAGUCAGCUUGUGGCAUCCUUGAUUGCUUUGUCGUCGUCGCAGGACAAGGUCGCCCACGUUCAAGUCUCUCUUUCGUACGUGUUUGUCAUGGUAGCGUUGAAGCUUCUGCUGGUAUCUAGCAGAGUUGAGGAGGGCCAUGUCUCGAGCCUCCUCAAGCUGGUCGACCGCAUUCUCUUGAGUUUCCUUGUUUGUCUGCUCGUUGUACGCCUUGAGUCGAGGGGACCCAUACUCGAGGUCUGUGGGGAGGACAGCCUCAGAGCCGUAGACCAUGAAGAACGGGGUGUAUUUUGUUGCCCUACUUGGUGUUGUCCUUAGGCUCCAUAGGACCGAGGAAAGCUCUUCGACCCAUUUCUUGCCGAACUUCUUCACGCGAUUGUAGAUCCUUGGUUUGAGCCCCUGCAAAAUCAUGCCGUUGGCGCGCUCGACCUGGCCGUUAGUUCGAGGAUGGGCCACUGCAGACCAGUUCACACGGAUGUGAUGCUUCGUAGAAGUCCAAGAACUUUUUGCCGGUGAACUGGGUGCCGUUGUCGGUGAUGAUUAUGCUGGGGAUUCCAAACCGAUGUAUGAUGUCGGUGAAGAAAAGGACGGCUUGCUCGGAGCAGAUGUUGGUGAUGGGUCGAGCCUCGAUCCAUUUGGAGAAUUUGUCGAUGGCCACCAGCAAGUGGGUGUAUCCUCCUUUCGCCUUUUGUAGGGGCCCUACUAAGUCGAGCCCCCACACCGCAAAUGGCCACGUGAUGGGGAUCAUCUGAAGAGUGUGGGCGGGCAGAUGCGUCUGUUUGGCGUAGAACUGGCACCCAUGACAUGAUCGUACGAGCUCGAUGGCAUUUGCUAUGGCUGUUGGCCAGUAGAUGCCUUGUCGGAAGGCGUUCCCUAUGAGGGUCCGUGGAGCAGCAUGGUGGCCACAAGCCCCCGAGUGUAGGUCCUCGAGUAGUUUCCGGCCUUCUUUCACGGUGAUGCAACGCUGCAAGACCCCUGUGGGGCUUCGUCGAUAUAGCUCAUUGCCCUCGCCAUAGAUCACAUAUGACUUGGCCCGUCGAGCCAUACGGCGGGCCUCGGACCGAUCUCCUGGCAGCUCGCAGCGAAUUAGACAGUCGAGGAACGGUGUGCGCCAGUCGAACGGUCGAUCGGGCCGCUGUUCUACCUCCAUCACUUCAGCUGCCAUCAACAUUGCGUGACCUUGUCGACGGAUGGCUCGUGAAGGUCUCUCGAGAACGCGUCAGGUGGCACCGUGCCUCGGGUCGACGUGAUCUUGGCGAGUUCAUCGGCUGCCUCGUUGUAGCGUCGGGCGAUGUGGACGAGCUCGAGGCCAAGGAACUUGUCCUCGAGUUGACGGACUUCUUUGCAGUACGCCUCCAUUUUGGGGUCAUGGCAGCUUGAAGUCUUCUUCACUUGGUCGAUGACGAGCUGGGAGUCGCCUCGGAUGUCAAGGCGUAGGACUCCUAACUCGAUGGCGAUCUUGAGACCGUUGACGAGGGCCUCGUAUUCCGCGACAUUGUUGGAUGCAGCAAAGUGAAUCCUGAUGACGUACCUCAUAUGGACACCCAAGGGCGAGAUGAACAGCAGGCCGGCCCCGGCCCCCGUUUUCAUGAGUGACCCGUCGAAAUACAUCGUCCACAGCUCCGCUUGGACCUGAGUCGGGGGGAGUUGAGAGUCUGUCCAUUCCGUGACGAAGUCCACCAGGGCUUGCGAUUUGACGGCCUUGCGAGGCGCAUAAGUGAGAGUCUCACUCAUAAGCUCGACCGACCAUUUAGCUAUUCUCCCCGUGGCCUCCUUACUCUGGAUUAUCUCGCCCAGUGGGAAAGACGAGACCACCGUGAUGGGGUGACCAAGGAAAUAGUGCUGCAGCUUGUGGUUCCGCGGGGGCGCACGAGCGACCCCGCGGGGGUAGCCCCCGAGCCCUCGAGGGAGUAUUUAACUCCUUCGAGGGUUAUUUUGCCAAAUUUGCAGAAACGCUGUCAACACCCAUGGUGGAAGGUUCUGUUCGGCUUUGCCUUGCGUGGAGGUUUCGAUGUACUCUCGAUAGAGCGAGCGUCUUCCACCCCAGAUUGAGUUCCUAGCGGGUAGUCCAAGUGAGAACCUGUGCCCUUUCGAGGGGGUCAGCUGUAGCCCGGAGGCGUCCUCAUAAAGCAGGGUCGACGUGGUCGGGGAUACCGGUCUCAUUCGAUAGAGUCCAGCGGCUCGAUGCCUCCCUUCGGGGGGAUUCCUCUCGACUGUCUCGACCCUACCUUGGACAUCGCCAGCGAGUCCUCGAGGCGGGCCUCGAUUUUCGACCACUCGCUAGGGAUCCCUGACUCUUGGUGCUCGAGAUCGGCUGUCGAACCCUUUCGACGGGCCAGCCAUCGACCUCUCGAGACUAUCGUGGGCGCAUACCUUGGCUUACGAAGUAAGGAAACUGCCGUGCCGGUUCGUCUUUCUGCCCGUUGGGCGCACCUUUUGAGGUAAGUGACGUUGCGACACUGUAUCGGCGGGGAAUUCGGAGCGUCCGGCCUAUGAGGAGAGGAAGGACUGUUAGACGGCGCAUUUAUGGGAGGGAGUUACCUUAUUUCUCGGAUCUGUCCGCUGGCGGACUGCUGCCUAUAAAUACGUUGUGGCGUCGCCGCCGUUCCUCUCCCUUCCGCCUUCUCGCUUUUAUUCUCUCGUUGCCUUUGCUUUCUCGCCGUCUCACGCGCACACGCCUCCUCGAGCUGUAGUGAAUCUACCGUCCCUCCAGCCGAGAUGCCUGUAAGACUCGUCGCCGCCGACGACUGGCGCCCGUCGUCGAUGACGGAGCGCCGGUUGUUAGAGCUUGAGAAAGAGGAACUGCUGCGCCGCCGUACCUCGCUAUCGUCGCCAGAGUGGAUCGCGCCGCCGGCGAGUCACACGGGGCCUCAGCCGCCCGAGGGCUACGUGGUGUCGUUCGCCAAGUUCCACCGCCACGGUCUGGGCGCGCCCCCGAGCCGCUUCAUGCGGGCCCUCUGCUUCCAUUAUGGGGUGGAGCUCCAGCACUUCUCUCCGAACGCCAUCACCGUAGCGGCGGUCUUCGCCGCCGUGUGUGAGGGCUACUUGGGGAUGAUGCCGCACUGGGAGCUGUGGCUCCACCUCUACAGGGGCGAGCUUUUCCAUGCCCCCACCGGAACCACGGGCGUAAGGAAGCCCGUGCGGGCGGGAUGCCUCAAUCUGGUGCAGAAGACGGGGAAGACGGACAGGCCGCGGGAGUACAUCCCGGUGGGGUUAUGGAAAGGGAACUUUUGGACAUGCUUUAUUCAGACUAGUAUAAUCGACACACAUCCUCAUUUUCCCAUUCUUUUUCUUAACUAAUACAGGGUUUGCUAACCAGUCAGGAUGAUGAACCUCCUUGAUGAAUCCGGCCGUCAAAAGCUUGUGGACUUCCUCGCCAAUGAUCUUGCGCUUCUCCUCGUCGAAUCGGCGCAACCGCUGCUUCACUGGCUUGGAACCGGCUCGAAUCUCCAAGGAGUGCUCGGCGACUUCCCUCGGUAUGCCUGGCAUGUCCGAGGGACUCCAUGCAAACAUGUCGGCAUUUGCACGGAGAAAGUCGACGAGCACAGCUUCCUAUUUGGGGUCGAGGUCGGUGCUGAUCGUCAGCACUUUGCCGUCGGAGUUGUUGGGGUCGAGCGGGAUCUUCUUGGUUCCUUCCGCCGCCUCGAAGCUGCCCGCGUGGCGCUUAGGCUCUGGAGCCUCAGCGGCCAGGGCCUCGAGCUUCGCGACGAGCUCGGUGGAGUUCUCGACCGCCUCCCCGUACUCGACGCACUCGACGUCGCACUCGUACGCAUGCUCGAAGGAGGAACUGACAGUGAUGACACCUUUGGGACCGGGCAUCUUCAGCUUCAAGUAGGUGUAGUUGGGUAUAGCCAUGAACUUGGCGUAGCCCGGGCGCCCGAUGAUGGCGUGGUACGUGCCUCGAAACCCAACCAACUCGAAGGUGAGGGUCUCCUUCUUGAAGUUGGCCGCCGUGCCGAAGCAGACCGGUAAGUCAAUUCGACCUACUGGCAGCGCCUUUUUUCCUGGCACGACGCCAUGGAACCCGCCGGCACUUGGUUGGAGCUUCCCUCUAUCUAUGCCGAGGAGGUCAAGGGUCUCGAGGUAGAUGAUGUUGAGGCUGCUACCGCCAUCCAUCAGCACUUUCGAGAGCCGGGUGUUGACGAUGAUGGGGUCGACGAUGAGCGGGUAGACGCCUGGGGCGACUACCUUGUCGGGGUGGUCUUCUCGGUCGAAAGUGAUAGGAGUGCUUGACCAGCUAAGGUAUUGGGGCACCGCCAUUCUUGCUGCAAAGACUUCGCGACGCUCCCUUUUGCGCUACCUCGUGGUCAAUUGAGUCGAGGGCCCGCCAUAGAUCAUGUAGCAGUCGUGGACAGCGGGGAAGCCGUCGUCAUCUUUGUUGUCCUCCUUGCUGCCAGCCUUCUCUUUCUUGGAGUCAUCACGCGUAUCUUUUUUGAACCCCAGACCGUCGAAAUGCUUUCUCAGCAUACGACAGUCCUUGAGCUUGUGGUUGGCGCCUCCCUUAUGGUAAGGGCACGGCUCCUCCAACAUCUUGUCAAAGAUGCCUCCAUCCGGAGGGCCUCGAGGCUUCUUUCGAUCCAUGGCGGCGACAAGGUUGUCAUCGGAAUCUUCCCGGUGGAACUGCCGCACUUUCUGCUUCUUUUUGUUUUUCUUGAGGCCUCGACUGGGGGUCCCAUCUUCAUCGAUGGGCUGCUUGCCUUUCCUUCCUUCUGAGCUGAAGAAGGCGCCGACUGCCUCCUCCCCUGCCGCGUAGUUGGCUACUACGUCCAUCAGCUCGUCGACGGUCUGAGGUCGAUUGCGACCUAAUUCCCGCACCAAGUCUCGACUGGUGGUGCCCGAGACAAACGCCAAGAUGACGUCGUGGUCAGGGAUGUGCGGCAGCUCAGUGCGCUGCUUCGAGAAGCGUCGAGCAUACUCCCGAAGAGUUUCUCCCGACUUCUGCUUGCACUUGCUGAGGUCCCACGAGUUCCCUGGCCGUAUGUAGGUCCCUUUGAAGUUACCCUCGAAGACUCUGACCAGAUCAACCCAGUUGUGGAUCUGAUUGGCAGGGAGUUCCUCGAGCCAUCGACGGGCGGUGUCGGAGAGGAAAAGGGGUAGCUGUCUGAUGAUGGCUCGAUCAUCACCUCGAGCGCCACCUAGCUGACAGGCCAGCCUAAAGUCGGCCAGCCACAACUCUAGUUUGGUCUCUCCAUUGUACUUCGCGAUGCUGGUCGGGGGUCGAAAUGGAUUGGGCAGGGGUGUGCUGCGGAUCGCCCUGCUGAACACCCGUGGGCCUGGUGGCUCGGGGGCCACCCGGUCCUCGUCGCUGUCGUAUCUCCCACCGCGAUGCGCGCUAUAACCGCGCUCUUCCGCGUCUCCGUGCCGGCGGCGUCGAUUUUCUUUGAUGUCGUGCCGCGCGUCGUGUCGACGUUGAUCGUCGACGGGGAGGAUGAGAGCGGUCUUUCUACCUCGAGGGGGAGGUUGUUGUUGGACUGACACCUCCUCUUCGUUUAAAGGCUGUUCGUCGCGCUUCUCUGUGGCAGCUCCUCGCCGUCGAGACGCCGAACUUUCAGCUUGUUGAACCGCCGCCACCUGGAGCAAUGUCUGUACCUCAUCUCGAAUGCAUCGGGCCUAGGAAUUCGACGGCUCUGGCAUGUUACGUAGCAGCAUCGUCGCUGCCACUACAUUCUGGCCUGCUCGAGGGAAACGGCUGACAGGUUGCUCUGGCUCUGAGUCGCCGACGAUCUGUCGAUGUACCUCUCGAGCGCGUCUGCGGACACUUCCGCCCGGCGGGUAGGGCAGGUCUUGCUCGAGGAUUUGCUCGAGCAGGACGAGGCGCUCGCGGUCUUCGUCGAGCUUCGUCUUGAGCUCCCGCAGUUGCGCGAGCUGCGCGGUUCUGUCUUCCUGAGGAGGGGGGUCGACCUGUCCGUCGUUCCCAGGCGUCCUGGGGUCUUCUCGCGCCGCGGGGGCUCGACCACCCGCUGCAGCAUCCCGUGUCUCGUCAGUAGUUUCUACCGCCCCGUCGAUGUGAUAGCAUUCCCUCGUAGGGUCAUAGCUAUCUGUCUCGGAGUCGGAGUCCGGUUCGGCGGCGUAGAAACACCCACGUCCUUCCUCCAACAAUCGUUGCCUGAGGGAGGUGAUCGAGUAUCGUCCGGGGCCUAGACGACGGAGGCCUUGUACUCGGGAAAGGUCCGGCAGCUCGGACGUCGACCGCCGCGCUUCAGAGCUACGUGGGAGGACCAUUGGUCUUUCUACGUACGUCUGGGUGUUUGGGCAUAUCGCCCUGGCGAGCGACGCCGCGGCGUUGUCCAAUCCGAACGGCAGUGCCGCUCUUGGAGAGAACAACCCGUGUGGAAGUAGCCUAGCUGCGGUGGGGGAGAGCGCGCGAGACGCAUCCCCUCCCGUCGUCGCGCGGUGCUGAGUCGUCGCGCUUGUUGCUCCGUCACACGGUGCUGCCGACUUGUGGCCUACGUCCUGCCUCGCACGAGUUGCUGGUCGUGCUGAAGCAGAGGGGCCGCGGCGGGGCUAUCCGCGCCUCUUCUUAGGCGGGGAGGCAUGGUGGUGAGGGCGUCUCGGGGCCUUCAACCGUGCGGGCGUAACGCGGGCUCCUCCUGGUCCUUUGACUGAGAGCAAGAUCAUGUCGUAGCCGGAGCCCGUAGACAUGAACUCGAGGCUCCCAAACCAAAUCACCGUGGAGCGCGGAAACGGCGAGGCAAGAGUAGCCAUCCGGAAAGGAGUGGGAAAUCGAUGAAAAACACGCAGGACCCCUACCUGGCGCGCCAACUGUCGGUGUUUUCCCCCGGGGGGGUCACACCAACGAGUAAAUUUGUAUGCGUGCUCCCUUUCCCGGAUGGUGAUGCAAGAAGACACAGAUAUUUAUCCUGGUUCGGGCAAGAGAAGGCCCUACGUCCAGCGGGGGGGAGAGAGUUUGUAUUAUCUUGCACCUAAGUGCUUGUACAGGGGCGAAUACAAGCGUGGUAUGAAGUGUGGAGCUCUACUACGUAUGAACGUGGUCUUGUGUCGUGAUGAUCGUUCUAUUCCUGAGUCUCUCCUUUUAUAGCUCCAAGGAGAGACCCAGGGUACAUGCGUAGAUGUUAGAGUAGGGGUCGAUAGCCGCAUGGAGCGCUGACCUACUCGAGGCUUCCGUACGGCAUGGCCUCGAGCCGUCCCAUCUUGAUAGCCCGGUGAUGAUUACGCGUGCUCCUGCGUUCUGCCCUGCACGCCGCCUCGCGCUGGUUCUGAGGUCGCACGCUUGUACGGUAUGGCGGCAGAUCCGGCGGGGUAGUUGUGGUGUCGUCAGUCGACGCCCAACUUGUCCCUAGGAAGGGACCCUGUUCGGUCGAGGGUCGGACGCCGUGUAAUGUGCUGAUAUCUGGAGCGCUGACCUUGGAGGUCUCGAGGGGGUCCCGAUUAGACAUUCCAUCCUUGUUUCCCGCGUCCUGACACGCCCUUGGUCGUUCGGUGGGAAGGCUGCAAAAAGAACGAUGGGACAGAAGCCUGUUCCCUAUCACGCCUCCCGUGACCCGAGUGUUAGGUGGGGAAGCGUCAGGUGCAUUAAAUGUCCUGGCUCUCGUGCGCGCGUCAGGCGGCGGACAGUGUCCUUGCGCUCGACGCCUCUCGGUUCGCUCGAGCCCGCUUCCGUAUUCGACGGCAGUUGUCGCUCGAGCCCUGGCCGAUUCGCUCGACGCUAUUUCCGUCUUCGAGGUUGCGGCCAUCGAUGGUCGUGCGUGUGUGCGGACGGAGCGUCGAAUCGAGGCGCUAGUUUUACGUACGGAUGGUUUCGUUAUUCGUGUUGGUGAGGGUACCCCUUGUUGAUACCCUCGACAGAAAGCGACAGGCGCAUUAAAUGCCCUGGCUCUCGUGCGCGUGUCAGGCGGCGGGCGGCGUCCUUGCGCUCGAUGCCUCCCGAUUCGUGCGAGCCCGCUUCCGUACUCGACGGUAGCUAGCGCUCGACCCUUGAUUGAUUCGCCCGACGCCAUUUCCGUCUUCGAGGCUGCGGCCUUCGAUUGCUGCGCAUAUGUGUGACCAAAGUGUCGAGUAGAGGGCCUCGACUUGCGUACAGAUAAUCUCGUUAGGUGCAUCGGUGAGGGUACCCCUUACUGAUACCCUCGACAACCGUACACCAAUCUUGCAUCGAGAUUAGCACUAUCUCCAAACAGAUCGAACCGACCUUCCACUUGAGCCUGUUCGCCUAGGAGUAUUAUCGGGUGCUUCCAUAAUGGUUUCUGAGCCUAUGGUGCAUUAUGCGCAAACCAUGCACCAAUCUUGCACCUAAACUGUCUCCAAACAGAUUGAAGCGAGAUUCCAUAUGACACACAUGAUCUAGGAGUUCUAUCGGGUGCGUCCAAAUUGAUUUCUGAGAAUAUGGUACGUUCCAUGCAAACCGUACACCUAUCUUUCAUCAAGAUUAGCACUAUCUCCAAACAGACCGAACCGAGCUUUCACUUGAGCCUCUUCACCUAGGAGUACCAUCGGGAACUUCCACAACAAUUUCUGAGCCUAUGGUGCACUGGGCACAAACCAUGCAACUAUCUUGCACCGAAACUAAUACUAUCUCCAACUGGACUGAAGCGAGAUUCCAUAUGAUACACUUCAUCUAGUAGUUCCACCAGGUGCAUCUACAGUUCCAUCGGGUGUGUCCAAAUUGAUUUCUAGGCAUAUGGUAUGUUCCAUGCAAACCGUGCACCUAUCUUGCAUCAAGAUUAGAACUAUCUCCAAACAGACAGAACCAAGAUUCCACAUGAGCCUCUUCACCAAGGAGUACCAUCGCGUGCGUCCAAAAUAGUUUCUUAGCCUAUGGUGCAUUAGGCACAAACCGUGUACCUAUCUUGCACCGAAACUAACACUAUCUCCAAAGAGACCGAAGUGAGAUUCUAUAUGACAAACGUCAUCUAGGAGUUCUUUUGGGUGCUUCCAUAUAUAUUUCGAAGCAUAUGGUACGUUCGAUGCAAUUCGUGCACCUAUCUUGCAUCAAGAGUAGCACUAUCUCCAAACAAAGCAAACGGAGCUUCCACUUGAGCCCCUUUACCCAAGAGUAUCAUCGGGUGCCUCCAAAAUGGUUUCUUAGCCUAUGAUGCAUUAGGCGCAAACUGUGUACCUAUCUUGCACUAAAACUAACUCUGUCUCCAAAUAGACCAAAGCGAGAUUCCAUAUGACACAUGUCAUCUAGGAGUUCUAUUGCGAUGCAUCCAAAUAGAUUUCUUAGCAUAUGGUAUGUUCCAUGCAAAACGUGCACCUAUCUUGCAUCAAGAUUAGCACUAUCUCCAAACAGAUCGAACCGACCUUCCACUUGAGCCUCUUAACCUAGGAGUAUUAUCGGGUGCUUCCAUAAUGGUUUCUGAGCCUAUGGUGCAUUAUGCGCAAACCAUGCACCAAUCUUGCACCUAAACUGUCUCCAAACAGAUUGAAGCGAGAUUCCAUAUGACACACAUGAUCUAGGAGUUCUAUCGGGUGCGUCCAAAUUGAUUUCUGAGAAUACGGUACGUUCCAUGCAAACCGUACACCUAUCUUUCAUCAAGAUUAGCACUAUCUCCAAACUGACCGAACCGAGCUUUCACUUGAGCCUCUUCACCUAGGAGUACCAUCGGGAACUUCCACAACGAUUUCAGAGCCUAUGGUGCGCUGGGCACAAACCAUGCAACUAUCUUGCACCAAAACUAAUACUAUCUCCAACUGGACUGAAGCGAGAUUCCAUAUGAUACACUUCAUCUAGUAGUUCCAUCGGGUGCAUCUACAGUUCCAUCGGUUGUGUCCAAAUUGAUUUCUAAGCAUACGGUAUGUUCCAUGCAAACCGUGCACCUAUCUUGCAUCAAGAUUAGAACUAUCUCCAAACAGACAGAACCAAGAUUCCACAUGAGCCUCUUCACCAAGAAGUACCAUCGCUUGCGUCCAAAAUAGUUUCUUAGCCUAUGGUGCAUUAGGUACAAACCGUGUACCUAUCUUGCACCGAAACUAACACUAUCUCCAAAGAGACCGAAGUGAGAUUCUAUAUGACAAACGUCAUCUAGGAGUUCUUUUGGGUGCUUCCAUAUAUAUUUCGAAGCAUAUGGUACGUUCGAUGCAAUUCGUGCACCUAUCUUGCAUCAAGAGUAGCACUAUCUCCAAACAAAGCAAACUGAGCUUCCACUUGAGCCCCUUUACCUUGGAGUAUCAUCGGGUGCAUCCAAAAUGGUUUCGUAGCCUAUGAUGCAUUAGGCGCAAACUGUGUACCCAUCUUGCACCAAAACUAACUCUGUCUACAAAUAGACCAAAGCGAGAUGCCAUAUGACACAUGUCAUCUAGGAGUUCUAUUGCGAUGCAUCCAAAAAGAUUUCUUAGCAUAUGGUAUGUUCCAUGAAAACCGUGCACCAAUCUUGCAUCAAGAUUAGCACUAUCUCCAAACAGAUCGAACCGACCUUCCACUUAAGCCUCUUAACCUAGGAGUAUUAUCGGGUGCUUCCAUAAUGGUUUCCGAGCCUAUGGUGCAUUAUGCGCAAACCAUGCACCAAUCUUGCACCUAAACUGUCUCCAAACAGAUUGAAGCGAGAUUCCAUAUGACACACUUGAUCUAGGAGUUGUAUUGGGUGCGUCCAAAUUGAUUUCUGAGAAUACGGUACGUUCCAUGCAAACCGUACACCUAUCUAUCAUCAAGAUUAGCACUAUCUCCAAACAGACCGAACCGAGCUUUCACUUGAGCCUCUUCACCUAGGAGUACCAUCGGGAACUUCCACAACGAUUUCAGAGCCUAUGGUGCACUGGGCACAAACCAUGCAACUAUCUUGCACCGAAACUAAUACUAUCUCCAACUGGACUGAAGCGAGAUUCCUUAUGAUACACUUCAUCUAGUAGUUCCAUCGGGUGCAUCUACAGUUCCAUCGGGUGUGUCCAAAUUGAUUUCUAAGCAUAUGGCAUGUUCCAUGCAAACCGUGCACCUAUCCUGCAUCAAGAUUAGAACUAUCUCCAAAUAGACAGAACCAAGAUUCCACAUGAGCCUCUUCACCAAGGAGUACCAUCGCGUGCAUCCAAAAUAGUUUCUUAGCCUAUGGUGCAUUAGGUACAAACCGUGUACCUAUCUUGCACCGAAACUAACACUAUCUCCAAAAGAGACCGAAGUGAGGUUCUAUAUGACACACAUCAUCUAGGAGUUCUAUUGGGUGCUUCCAAAUAUAUUUCUAAGCAUAUGGUAUGUUCGAUGCAAUUCGUGCACCUAUCUUGCAUCAAGAUUAGCACUAUCUCCAAACAAAGCAAACUGAGCUUCCACUUGAGCCCCUUUACCCAGGAGUAUCAUCGGGUGCGUCCAAAAUGGUUUCGUAGCCUAUGAUGCAUUAGGCGCAAACUGUGUACCUAUCUUGCACCAAAACUACCUCUGUCUCCAAACAGACCUAAGCGAUAUUCUAUAUGACACAUGUCAUCUAGGAGUUCUAUUAGGGUGCGUCCAAAUGGAUUUCUUAGCAUAUGGUAUGUUCCAUGCAAACCGUGCACCUAUCUUGCAUCAAGAUUAGCACUAUCUCCAAACAGAUCGAACCGACCUUCCACUUGAGCCUCUUCACCUAGGAUUAUCAUCAGGUGCUUCCAUAAUGGUUUCUGAGCCUAUGGUGCAAUAUACGCAAAUGAUGCUCCAAUCUUUCACCUAAACUAACACUGUCUCCAAACAGAUUGAAGCGAGAUUCCAAAUGACACACAUGAUCUAGGAGUUCUAUCGGGUGCGUCCAAAUUGAUUUAUGAGAACAUGGUACGGUCCAUGCAAACCGUACACCUAUCAUUCAUCAAGAUUAGCACUAUCUCCAAACAGACCGAACCGGGCUUUCACUUGAGCCUCUUCACCUAGGAGUACCAUCGAGAACUUCCACAACGAUUUCUGAGCCUAUGGUGCAUUGGGCACAAACCAUGCAACUAUCUUGCACCGAAACUAAUACUAUCUCUAACUGGACCGAAGCGAGAUUCCAAAUGAUACACUUCAUCUAGUAGUUCCAUCGGGUGCAUCUACAGUUCCAUUGGGUGUGUCCAAAUUGAUUUCUGAGCAUAUGGUAUGUUCCAUGCAAACCGUGCACCUAUCUUGCAUCAAGAUUAGAACUAUCUCCAAACAGACAGAACCAAGGUUCCACAUGAGCCUCUUCACCAAGAAGUACCAAUACGUGCGUCCAAAAUAGUUUCUUAGCCCAUGGUGCAUUAGGCACAAACCGUGUACCUAUCUUGCACCGGAACUAACACUAUUUCCAAAGAGACCGAAGUGAGAUUCUAUAUGACACACAUCAUCUAGGAGUUCUAUUGGGUGCUUCCAAAUAUAUUUCUAAGCAUAUGGUACGUUCGAUGCAAUUCGUGCACCUAUCUUGUAUCAAGAUUAGCACUAUCUCCAAACAAAGCAAACUGAGCUUCCACUUGAGCCCCUUUACCCAGGAGUAUCAUCGGGUGCAUCCAAAAUGGUUUCUUAGCCUAUGAUGCAUUAGGCGCAAACUGUGUAACUAUCUUGCACCAAAACUAACUCUAUCUCCAAAUAGUCCAAAGUGAGAUUCCAUAUGACACAUGUCAUCUAGGAGUUCUAUUGGGAUGCAUUCAAAUAGAUUUCUUAGCAUAUGGUAUGUUCCAUGAAAACCGUGCACCUAUCUUUCAUCAAGAUUAGCGCUAUCUCCAAACAGAUCGAACCAACCUUCCACUUGAUCCUCUUCACCUAGGAGUAUUAUCGGGUGCUUCCAUAAUGGUUUCCGAGCCUACGGUGCAUUAUGCGCAAACCAUGCACCAAUCUUGCACCUAAACUGUCUCUAAACAGAUUGAAGCAAGAUUCCAUAUGACACACAUGAUCUAAGAGUUCUAUCGGGUGCGUCAAAAUUGAUUUCCGAGAAAUAUGAUAUGUUCCAUGCAAACCAUACACCUAUCUUGCAUCAGAUUAGCACUAUCUCUAAACAGACCGAACUGAGCUUUCACUUGAGCCUCUUCACCUAGGAGUACCAUCGGGAACUUCCACAACGGUUUCUGAGCCUAUGGUGCACUGGGCACAAACCAUGCACCUAUCUUGCACGAAACUAAUACUAUCUCCAGCUAGACUGAAGCGAGAUUCCAUAUGAUACACUUCAUCUAGUAGUUCUAUCGGGUGCAUCUACAGUUCCAUCGGGUGUGUCCAAAUUGAUUUCUGAGCAUAUGGUAUGUUCCACGCAAACCGUGCACCUAUCUUGCAUGAAGAUUAGAACUAUCUCCAAACAGACAGAACCAAUAUUCCACAAGAGCCUCUUCACCAAGGAGUACCAUCGCGUGUGUCCAAAAUAGUUUAUUAGCCUAUGGUGCACUAAGCACAAACCGUGUACCUAUCUUGCACCGAAACUAACACUAUCUCCAAAGAGACCGAAGUGAGAUUCUAUAUGACACAUAUCAUCUAGGAGUUCUAUUUGGUGCUUCCUAAUAUAUUUCUAAGCAUAUGGUACGUUCGAUGCAAUUCGUGCACCUAUCUUGCAUCAAGAUUAGCGCUGUCUCCAAACAAAGCAAACUGAGCUUCUGCUUGAGCCCCUUUUCCUAGGAGUAUCAUCGGGUGCAUCCAAAAUGGCUUCUCAGCCUAUGAUGCAUUAGGCGUAAACUGUGUACCUAUCUUGCACCAAAACUAACUCUAUCUCCAAAUAGACCAAAGCGAGAUUCUAUAUGACACAUGUCAUCUAGGAGUUCUAUUGGGGUGCGUCCAAAUAGAUUUCUUAGCAUAUGGUAUGUUCCAUGCAAACCGUGCACCUAUUUUGCAUCAAGAUUAGCACUAUCUCCUAAUAGAUCGAACCGACCUUCCACUUGAGCCUCUUCACCUAGGAUUAUCAUCGGGUGCUUCCAUAAUGGUUUCUGAGCCUAUGGUGCAUUAUGCGCAAACGAUACACCAAUCUUGCACCUAAACUAACACUGUCUCCAAAAAGAUUGAAGCGAGAGUCCAUAUGACACACAUGAUCUAGGAGUUCUAUCGGGUGCGUCCAAAUUAAUUUCUGAGAAUACGGUACGUUCCAUGCAAACCGUACACCUAUCUUUCAUCAAGAUUAGCACUAUCUCCAAACAUACCAAACCAAGCUUUCAGUUGAGCCUCUUCACCUAGGAGUAUUAUCGGGUGCUUCCACAAUGAUUUCUGAGCCUACGGUGCAUUAUGCGCAAACCAUGCACCAAUCUUGCACCUAAAUUGUCUCCAAACAGAUUGAAGCGAGAUUCUAUAUGACACACAUGAUCUAGGAGUUCUAUCGGGUGUGUCCAAAUUGAUUUCUAAGAAUACGGUACGUUCCAUGCAAACCGUGCACCUAUCUUUCAUCAAGAUUAGCACUAUCUCCAAACAGACCGAACCGAGCUUUCACUUGGGCCUCUUCAUCUAGGAGUACCAUCGGGAACUUCCACAACGAUUUCUGAGCAUAUGGUGCACUGGGGACAAACCAUGCAACUAUCUUGCAUCGAAACUAAUACUAUCUCCAGCUGGACUGAAGCGAGAUUCUAUAUGAUACACUUCAUCUAGUAGUUCCAUCGGGUGCAUCUACGGUUCCAUCGGGUGUGUCCAAAUUGAUUUCUGAGCAUAUGGUAUGUUCCUUGCAAACCAUGCACCUAUCUUGCAUCAAGAUUAGAACUAUCUCCAAACAGACAGAACCAAGGUUCCACAUGAGCCUCUUCACCAAGGAGUACCAAUGCGUGCGUCCAAAAUAGUUUCUUAGCCUAUGGUGCAUUAGGCACAAACCGUGUACCUAUCUUGCACCGAAACUAACACUAUCUCCAAAGAGACCUAAGUGAGAUUCUAUAUGACACACAUCAUCUAGGAGUUCUAUUGGGUGCUUCCAAAUAUAUUUCUAAGCAUAUGGUACGUUCGAUGCAAUUCGUGCACCUAUCUUGUAUCAAGAUUAGCACUAUCUCCAAACAAAGCAAACUGAGCUUCCACUUGAGCCCCUUUACCCAGGAGUAUCAUCGGGUGCAUCCAAAAUGGUUUCUUAGCCUAUGAUGCAUUAGGCGCAAACUGUUUACCUAUCUUGCACCAAAACUAACUCUGUCUCCCAAUAGACCAAAGUGAGAUUCCAUAUGACACAUGUCAUCUAGGAGUUCUAUUGCGAUGCAUCCAAAUAGAUUUCUUAGCAUAUGGUAUGUUCCAUGAAAACAGUGCACCUAUCUUUCAUCAAGAUUAGCACUAUCUCCAAACAGAUCGAACCGACCUUCCACUUGAGCCUCUUCAUCUAGGAGUAUUAUCGGGUGCUUCCAUAAUGGUUUCCAAACCUAUGGUGCAUUAUGCGCAAACCAUGCACCAAUCUUGCACCUAAACUGUCUCCAAACAGAUUGAAGCAAGAUUCCAUAUGACACACAUGAUCUAGGAGUUCUAUCGGGUGCGUCAAAAUUGAUUUCCAAGAAUAUGAUAUGUUCCAUGCAAACCAUACACCUAUCUUGCAUCAAGAUUAGCAAUAUCUCCAAACAGACCGAACCGAGCUUUCACUUGAGCCUCUUCACCUAGGAGUACCAUCGGGAACUUCCACAACGGUUUCUGAGCCUAUGGUGCACUAGGCACAAACCAUGCAUGUGGGGGUAUAAACCCCUAUACCCUUACGGCUAGACUUGGGCCAGGAGGCUUGGCCCAUUACGAGACAAGUUCGAGGUUUCAUCCGACCGUUCUGAGUUUCGCGCAAGGAAACAAGACGUGGAGAUCAAGCAGGAUUCUAGUCGGUUAGAAUAGGAAUUGAUAUCGAACUAUCUAUGGCAAUUGUAACCGACUAGGAUUAGUUUCUAGGCCUAUAACCCUGCCCUCCGGACUAUAUAAGGAGGGGCAAGGGACACCCCUAGGACAUCAUUAUUCUCUCAACACAAAUCAAUACAACAAGACGCAGGACGUAGGUAUUACGCCAGCUCGGUGGCCGAACCUGGAUAAAAAGCUUGUCCGUGUCUUGCGUCAGCAUCGAGUUCGUAGUUUGCGCACCGUCUACCGAUAAACUACUACCGUGGGUAUACCCCAAGGUAGACUGCCGACCAGCUUUCGUGGAUAGUGGCGCGCCAGGUAGGGGGUGUGCGUACAACUUCUCCGGCGAACAAGAUGGUCAUCGUUCUAGCUUCCGCGGCCGUGCCUGAAGGCCUCACGUUCACCGUCGGCCAGAUUACGUGGACAACUCGCGGCGGUGGCAUCACGGCCACGGUUUUGGAAGAAACCCAGAUCCAAUCUGGGAUGACACUGGCACCGAGCACCCGACCACCGCUUCCGCGCUACAAGGGAAAGAAGAUCGAUGGCUCGGACCUUCUCCAAGCUCUCGAUCGCGCCGAUCUCAAGCUUCUCGAAGCUUCCCGACUAGUAGAUGGGAUCUCGCGUCAGCCUGGUCAAGCCGCGCCAACGGAUUUUUUUCAACUCCCACAGGCCAACUCGUGUCGUCACACACGAACGGCUGGGAACGUCUCUGACGAUAACCUCCACCCUCUCAGGACGGUCCGUCAAACUCGAGGCUGAUCCAGACCAAGGUUCUCCUUAUGGGCUGAACAACUCAGCCGUUCACUAUUCGAGGCACAUCCAAUCCCUUUUCAACGAGGCCGGUUGGUUGCCAAAACGAAGCGGUCGACCAGCGCGUCACUACGUCAACAUGGUGACGAUCCGAGAACUACGGGACGGCCAGGUUUCCAGCACAAACUCCAGCACUGGAUCCGUUCCCACCGAAGUCAUAAACUCCGAGGACGAGGACUACGACCUGGAUUUACCACCGUAUCCGUCGGGUUUCUCUCGCUUCUCGGUCUUCCCGCGCCGGCGAGGAGACCUCGUCUUCAAUGUCAGCAAUGAUGAGCCGGUCGUUGACGGAGAGACAGACGAGUAGAGGCAGCUCCGCGAGCAGCGCAAUGCCGACCGCGCCCGGCGAUGCGCGGAAGAGGAGCGGCAACUCCCGCCGCAUAACCUCACUGACGCUUUCGACAUGGUCGAAGAUCAGCAAGUCUAUAAAACGCCAAGCGCUAACGUGGCUGUUGCCAUGGCCAACUUAGAUCGACUCCCUGAUACUCCUGAGUGCCAGGGUGUACAAUCAAGCGUACGUGCGCAUCUGAUCGCCGCGAUGGGACAGACAGCCACUCUGCUCAAAAGAGUCCAAGCUAUCUCCUAUGCAGAGGUCUCGUCCGACCAGACCCAUCGCAGCAGGACCUCACCACAACCCAGCGGGCACCACCGCAGCCGUUCCCCCACCAAUCGUCGAAAGGAUUCACGACGUGACGAUGGCGGUCGGGACGCUGGCGGCUAUCGCGAGCAGAAUUACGGGUGUGGUCAGGAAGUAAACCAGCACAGGGAUCUUCGAUACAACAUCCCUCCCAAAGACGCCCGGGACCGCAUCAACAGGCGCGCCACGGAGAGAGCAGUUCACGAAAACCUGCAUCGUAUUGAGUACGAUGCAACGCACGGCCCCCCGGGCCUGAGACAGUUCUCACACCUCCGCCAGGUCGUGUGGCCCCGUAAUUUCAAGCUCGAGAAACUCAAAAAAUACGACGGCAAGGAAAACCCAGAGAACUGGAUCACUCUCUACGAGAUCGCCGUCCGGUCAGCAACAGACGAUGAGCACGUCAUGGCCAACUACUUCCCAGUCGUCCUCGACCAGGCUGGUCACCAGUGGCUCCUAGGACUGCCCGAGGACUCUUUCGACUCCUGGGAAGAACUACGCCAAGCAUUCAUCGACAAUUUCAUCACCACCUGGGAAUAGCCUGGGAACAAGUACGACCUCGAAAGGAUAAGGGACAGGAAAAACGAGCCUCUGUGCGAUUACAUCCGACGAUUCUCGGAUAUGCGCCUUAAGAUCCCGAAAAUUUCCCACGACGAGGCCAUAUCUGCUUUUAUCAAGGGGCUGCGCUUCCACAAAGCACUGAGGAACAAGCUGCUGCACAAAAGGCCAACAACGAUGGCCGAGCUCCUUGCCACGGCUAAAAAUUACGCCGACGCCGACGAUGCGUAAAAACUCAUCCGGGACGACGCCAGAGGUCCCGACCAGCCUCCUCGACGAGACGACAGUCGAGGUCGUUUCGACAAUAGGAACCAUCGUCGCCCCGACAACCGGGACCACAGAGAAGGCUGGGACAGGCGACGUGACAAUCGCGACGAUUUCAGAGGCAAGCGCCCUCGCGACCACGACCACGAGGUGAAUACGGUCAAGCGCCCCAAUGGGCGGCGAGACUACCAAGAAGACUACAACAAGACGUUGAAGGGACCAUGCCAACUGCAUCCAAAAUCCAACCACACAAUGGAGGAAUGUCACGUCCUAAAAAGCAUUUACACGCGGCGGGCUGCUCAAGACGACCCCGCCAAGAAAAACGGGAAACAGGACGGGCGCGAUCAUGAAGACGAGGACGACAACCAGGAUAGGGACCCACGACACCAGUAUGUCAGUCCCACAGACGUGGUCCACUCCAUCUUCGGGGGCAAGGUCUCCAUCGAGUCUAAGCGAGAAAGAAAGCUCUUAAAAAGAGCCUGCCUAAACAUAGACAGCACGGACGACCUGAUCGCCAAUCCGAAAUUUCCUCCCUGGUCGCACAGGGAAAUCUCCUUUAGCAGGAAGGAUCAGUGGGCCGCUAUCCCGGAGCCAGGACGUUUCCCUCUAAUCUUGGAUCCUUGCAUCAACAGCAUCUGAUUCGAACGCGUGCUCGUUGACGGGGGAAGCUCCAUCGAUAUCCUCUUUCGCAAUAGCUUACCUGCCCUCAAGAUAACCCCAACACAGUUAAAGUCAUACGACGCUCAAUUCUGGGGAGUCUUGCCAGGUCAAAGAUCAGUGCCUCUCGGACAGAUAACACUGCCUGUCCAAUUCGGCACAUCCGACCACUUCCGAACAGAGUUCGUCAACUUUGUGGUCGCCGACUUCAAUGGAACCUACUAUGCUAUACUGGGCCGACCAUCGCUGACAAAGUUCACGGCAGUUCCGCAUUACUCAUAUCUGGUCCUCAAAAUGCCUACAGAGAAGGGCGUCCUAACUGUCAGGGGCAAUGUCUACACUGCAUACACUUGCGAGGAGGAAAGCUUCAAGAUCACCGAAGCAAUUGACCUUUCAAUUCGCGUGGCAGAAACAGCUGCCCAAGCUGCACAGCUCCCUCCCGACCAGCUCCGACUACCCGAGCAGGAGACUGCUAGGAAGAAUUCAAAGUCCAGAGAAUACAAGGAAGUACAGCUGGUCGAAGGCAGCCCCAAGAAGACGGCUCUCAUCGCGGCCAACCUGGAUCCUAAAUAGGAAGACGCGCUCGUCAGGUUUCUAAGGGACAACGUGAGCGUUUUCGCAUGGAAACCCGCAGACAUGCCCGGCGUCCCAUGAAACCUGAUCGAGCACUCCUUAAAUGUCUCGAAGACCGCAAGACCUAUCAAGCAAAAGCUGUGACGGUUCGCUCAUGACAAAAAGGAGGCUAUUAGGACAGAAGUAACACGGCUUCUAGCAGCCGGAUUUAUAAAAGAAGUGUAUCAUCCUGAUUGGCUCGCUAAUCCGGUUCUUGUACGCAAAAAGAAUAACGAAUGGAGAAUGUGCGUUGACUACACUGAUCUCAAUAAACACUGUCCUAAAGAUCCUUUUGGUCUCCCUCGCAUCGACGAGGUGGUCGACUCAACGGCCGGAUGCGAACUCCUCUCUUUUCUAGACUGCUACUCUGGUUAUCACCACAUCUCGCUAAAGGAAGAUGAUCAGAUCAAAACGUCCUUCAUUACUCCUUUCGGCGCAUACUGCUACACCACCAUGUCCUUCGGACUCAACAACGCCGGAGCCACCUAUCAACGGGCCAUCCAGCAAUGCCUCCACGACGAGAUUCGUGAUGACCUCAUCGAGGCUUAUGUAGACGAUGUCGUCGUCAAAACAAGGGAUGCAAGCACCCUAAUCGACAACUUAGACCGAACCUUUAAGGUACUAAACAAGUACAAGUGGAAGCUUAACCCCAAAAAGUGCAUCAUUGGGGCCCCUUCUGGUCUACUACUCGGUAACGUCGUCAGCCGCGACGGCAUACGACCGAAUCCUUCAAAAGUAAAAGCAGUGCUCGACAUGCGACCACCUAAGAAUGUCAAGGAUAUUCAGAAGCUCACCGGAUGUAUGGCCGCUCUCAGCCGCUUCAUCUCAAGACUAGGAGAAAAAGGCCUCCCUUUCUUCAAACUCUUGAAGGCGUCGGAAAACUUCUCCUGGACAGAGGAAGCUGAAGCUGCGUUCACCCAGCUAAAGACUUUCCUCACCUCACCGCCUGUUCUCACAGCACCUCAGCCCAAUGAAGACCUAAUCCUUUACAUUGCGGCAACCGACAGGGUUGUCUCCACGGCAAUAGUGGUCGAGCGAGACGAGCCAGGUCACGUCUACAAGGUCCAGAGACCCGUUUAUUUCAUAAGCGAGGUCUUAAACGAGUCCAAGGCCAGAUACCCACAAAUACAGAAGCUCAUAUACGCCAUUCUAAUAACGUCAAGGAAGCUAAAGCACUACUUCGACGACCAUCGGGUCUUGGUAACCACCAGUUUCCCUCUUGGGGAUAUUCUGCGCAAUAAAGACGCCAACGGCAGAAUUAUAAAAUGGGCAAUGGAAUUAUGCCCAUUCUCCCUGGAUUUCCAGAACCGCACCAUAGUCAAGUGUCAGGCCCUGGUCGAUUUCAUCGUAGAGUGGACGGAUCUCAACGAGCCUCCCGUUUCCGACGUCUCCGACCACUGGUCAAUGUUCUUCGACGGGUCCAUGAACAUCAACGGCGCCGGCGCUGGGAUACUUUUCGUGUCGCCUAACAAGGACAAACUGCGUUACGUCCUUAGGAUCCUCUUUCCGACGUCAAACAACGUUGCUGAGUAUGAAGCAUGCCUGCAUGGCAUACGACUAGCUGUUGAGUUGGGAGUCAAACGCCUCUACGUCCAUGGCGACUCCGCUUUAGUUAUCAACCAGCUCAACAAGGAAUGGGACGCAACCCACAAGAAGAUGGAUCUCUACUGCAAAGAAAUCCGCAAAUGGGAAUCCAACUUCUAUGGUAGAUUACAUCCACGUGGUCCAGGAUAAGAACCAGGCAGCGGAUGCGCUGUCAAAGUUAGGGUCAUCUCGAGCCCAGAUUCCGCGAGGUGUUUUCGUCCAGGACAUCCAUGAGCCAAGUGUGGGCACAGACCUGGUCGAAAAGCAACCUAUUGAGGCAAUGCUCAUAGACAACGCUACUCCGACAACCAGCAGCUGUGAUUGGCGCUCCCCGUUCAUCAGGUAUAUAUCGGACGGGUCAGGCUUUCAAGAUAAAACGGAGAACGAGCGCCUCAUCCGACGAUCAAAGAAUUACAUACUAGUGGACGGCAAACUUAUGCGAAAAAAUGCAAGUUCUGAAGUGCUGCUCAAAUGCAUAUCCCAAGAUGAUGGUAUCAAGCUCCUGGACGACAUACACGCCGGAUCCUGCGGCAACCACGCAGCCUCCAGAACACUAGUCGGGAAGGCUUUCUGAGCAGGUUUUUACUGGCCAACCACGGUCACCGACGCAGAAAAACUGGUCCGACAUUGUGAAGGAUGCCAGUUCUUCGCCAAAAGGACCCACGUACCUGCUCACGAGAUUCAAACUAUUCCAUCAACCUGCCCUUUCGCCUGCUGGGGCCUCGACAUGAUCGGGCCAUUUAAACCGGCCCCCGGCAACUUCAAGUUCGUCUUCGUGUUAAUCGACAAAUUCUCGAAGUGGAUCGAAUACAUGCCACUAGUCAAAGCAACCUCCAAGAAAGCUGUGGAAUUUCUUAAUCAAAUGAUACACAGAUUUGGGAUUCCCAACAGUAUAAUCACUGACCUGGGCACUCAGUUCACUGGCACUACGUUCUGGGACUUCUGCGAUGAUAGGGGCAUAGUCAUAAAGUACGUGUCAGUAGCUCACCCACGGGCAAAUGGUCAGUAGAGCGCGCGAACUGAAUGAUUAUUGACGCCCUAAAGAAAAGGUUGUACACCGAGAACGACAGAGCACCUGGUCGAUGGAUGAAAGAGUUGCCAGCUGUGGUCUGGGGUCUCCGAACACAGGCUAGUCGCAAUACAGGCGUCUCACCCUACUUCAUGGUUUAUGGCUCCGAGGCAGUGCUCCCGUCUGAUGUAACCUUCAGAUCUCCAAGAGUUGAAAACUUCAACCAAUCAACGGCUGACAACGCUAGGGAACUCGAAAUCAACUGCAUGGAGGAAAAGCGUCUAAUUUCAUGCCUUCAAACAGUAAAGUAUCUCGAAGCCAUCAGGCGGUACCACAACAGGAACGUCAAAGACCGUUCCUUCAUGGUCGGUGAUCUGGUGCUAAAGUGGAAGACAAGCCAGGAAGGAACGCACAAAUUAUCCAUGCCGUGGGAAGGACCCUUUGUGGUCGCCGAAGUCACGCGCCCUACAUCCUACAGACUGGCGUAUCUAGACGGAAUACCCCUCCCUAAUUCUUGGCACAUAGACAAACUGCGCCGUUUCUAUGCAUAAAUUCCAGCAUUUUCUACUUGUAAGUUUCCUAUAAUUAGCAAUAAUAAAAGUUUUCCUUUUUCGCUAUACAUUGUUUACACGCAGAGCUUUCGACGAGCACAACAAUCUUCCUCUGCGGCGAAGAUCCUUAACGAUUAAUAAUCAAACACAGUGAUACAUCACUCAGAUAACAUUACAGCGCUCAAAAUCAUGGUCAUGACAAAAUCAAACUUUAUUACAAACUUUACAUACAGAGUUUACAAUAAACACCCCGACGGGCGGUUACUAGUCUACUCCUACAGACUAUCCUACAGGCCUACUGCUCGUGCUGAUCACCCGCUUGGCCUUGCUGCCCAGACGAAGGGGUCGGGGCCACCGGCGCCUGGCUGGUCGAGACCGCAGGCGUCGAUCGCCCAUCUCCGGCAAGGGACGCCCCCGACAACUCCCUGGCCGAUCUGUCUGACCCCGACUGGUCAGCGGGAGUGGCCGUCCCGCAUAGGUUGAUGUCGCCGAUCACCGUCGACGACAAGUCUAGCAGGCCAGCUCGAAGGUCGUCUGCCUCCUGCGAGCCAACUUCCUUGGGGUACCCCCUCUCCAGCCUGGACAGGUCGACCAGGGGAUAGUGGGCGCGCACCAUGCUGAGGACAUGCGCGCUGGCGAACUCCCCGGCAUCCUUGACGAACUGCUGGAGCCAGUCCCACGCCCGUUGCGCCUUCUCGACUGGCGUCAGCCUCGGCGCGCGGGGCUAGUCCUUAGGAAGCUCGGGGCUGAUCAAGUCCAGAACCGGGGCUACUCCUUUCCAAAGCCUAAUACAGUUAGUCUUCCAGGAGUCCCGAUCCUUGACCAGCUCGUCUAAAUGCUUUUUGGUGUUCACCUUGAGCACUACAAACCAAGCAGGAGGUCAGCUCAAGAACAAGGAAAGGAACGUUGAGAAACCAAAUAAAAAAAGGGGGUGGCACGGUUAUUACCAGACAGCUCCCGAUUCCUGUGGCUUAGCUCCUCGUCUGCUCGGCGCCCGGCCUCCAGCGCCCCGGCAAGCUCUUGGCCGAGCUGCUCCUUCUCUUGCCGAAGGCGCGCAACCUCCUCCUCCAAGUCUACAGGAACAAUCCCCCGGUCAACAAAACUAACUACGCGGUCCUUUGCCGAUAUUGGUCGGCUAAACGCCGAGUGAGGUCGAGACGGCGCUCUUCCAGAGACUCAAUUUGGUCGAAGCACCUCUUCCGGUACUUCUCCGUUUUCAUUGCGCCCUGCAAGAAGAACACACGUCGAACAUAGGAACAUAUCGCAUAAGCGUCGAGCAGCACAGAGAACCACCUACCUUAACCUCGUCUAUGAGAUGUUUUGCCGCACGCUCCACCCUUGCGGCCUCCUCCGUCUCCGCGAGCUCCUCAUGUCUGAUGAAGUGAUCCCCGCGUUGGCGCCACACGUAGACAUGCUGGCGACCAUCCCGGGGACGACCUUGGAUCUCCUCCACGUCAUUGUCAGAGGCUGCCCGGGGCUCCUCGUCUGCCGCACUGCCACCGGCCGCGGUCGCAGGCAUCAUUGGCCCCUGGUCCAAGCCAGGGGAACCAACGGGCGAAGCGGCCCCUGCUCGGGGCGCCGUUGGGACUCCCCUUUCUCUGGCUGGAGGAGUCGGGGCUCUGCUCUCCUCCCCCACAACAUUACUCGGGGGAGGCAUCCUCGCUGCCUCUUCAUCCCUCGUCGGGGUGCCCGCCGUGGCACUCACCUGGGCCGGUUGUUCCUCGGCUCUUGUAGCAGCGGUUGUCGCCGCAGGCUGCUCCGUGGCUUGCGGCGCAGCGUCUCCAACGGUGGCUACAGGCUCGGCUAUCCUAUGGUCAGCGACCUGGUCGGGGUCGACGUCUGACGCCGCACUAGACAAUGAAACGACAUUUAAACAAUGUCAAAAACAACAACAAAACAAAGAACAUCGCAGUACGAAAGUAAAAUUAAACACUUACAGGUCAGAUCGCCUGUGUGUCGCGGUGAACCUCCUCCUGGUCCUACCGGCUGGUGCCUGCGCCCCCAUCUCUACGACGCGCGGUGCAGGAGGGUCGCUGGUCACCCGAUCAGUGGUGGCCGGCGCAACGUCCGGACGACUGCGCGGCCUCCGGACCAGACAAGGCGCGGCCUCCUCCUCCUCGUCGUCGUCGUCGGUGAUCCGGACGAGUCGACGGCGCUUUGGUGCCUGACUGCUCUCCGCCGGCAGCGCUUCCGCAGGGGAGGGGUCUGCUGCCAGCGGCCUUUUCCCCGCCACUCUGUCUUCAGUGGUCGGGGCGGGACGGUUCUGCUCCUCCUCACUGCUAGUGUACUGUUGGGUAUUUUAAACGCAAACAGACAAAUCCGCAAGCGCACGGAUACCGAUGUAGCUUUCACCCGGGAGUAUUCCAGAGUAUCGAUUUUCCACAGAGAACGUGAGUGUACUAAUUAAGAAUCAAGAUCGCCCAAGGAUAACUAUAUAAGUAUUUUUGGUGGGAAGAGAGGAAGUUUCCUGAGAGUCCUCUAGUUGAUCUAAGAAUCAAGAAUUACUUCCAAGAUUAUCUAUAUCGGGACAUCAGAGCACUAACCACAGAAAGAGAUGAGAAGGGGGCUAGGAAGGUCUGACUACGGUCCUACAAACACCGAUCCGAACGUGGUGGAAUACGUCGACCGUUAGGGCUGUCACUACCUUAGGGCUACCACAACAAUCCAUGGGAUUGGGUGCAAUUCCUGGUAAUCACAAGACUAAACACCACGUCUAAUCUAUUAAUUACUACUCUAGCGUUAUAAAGACUAGAGCACUUGAUGCAAGCGGGAAUCCAAUAAAUAACUUGAAUGUAAAUAAAAGUAAUUAAAGAACUCAGGAAUUAUGAAUUGAAGAACCUGGAGAACGAUGAAGAACGAACCAGAUGCUGCAAAAGUAUAAUGUUGAGGAAGAUCCGACAGAUCCGGCUCCUCCUCCGCUCUCCUCUUCUCUCUCCCUAUUUUCUAGAUUACAACUAGAACUAACUAGAACUAGAACUAGAGGAACUAGAAUUGGAACUAGAUGAACUAGAACUAGAUCUAGAUGAACUAGAGGUAGAACUAGAAGAACUAGAGGGAUCCUCUCUACUUGGAUGAAGAAUUGAAACCCUAACUUUGAUUCUGUAGAAGAGGUAUGAUCUCCAGGGGCCAGGGGGGUUUGGUUUUAUAGUCCCUUCAAGUGAAUCUGGGCCAUCGGAUCAAACCGACAUUGAUCGUGUGGUUUUCCUUGAUCCUUUAGGUCCGUGGAGCGUUGUCCGCAAAGUUGGACGUGUUUGACUACAACUCCUGGGCGGGCGCCCAAGGGGGGUGGGCGGGCGCCCUGCCCCGGGCCCGUUCGCCUUCCCGUUCGUUCCCGUGGCUUCUGGAGUCUUCUAGAUGACGUAAAAUUGCGCGGCACGUUAAUAUCUCUAUGUCAAACACCAAACCUUGUGGAAUUCUUCCGUAUUUCUUCGGACGUGUGGGCCUUUCUUCCGUAUUUCCUGAUAACCCCCUGCAGAAAUAGACAAACACCAAAACUUGUGGAAUUUUGUCAGAUAAAACCGUAAGUCUAGGUGUUGGUUGCAUUUGGAUCCUUUUCCAUGAUUAGUUGAUGGUUAAUGUGAGCAUUAAGGACCGUCAACAAGCUCCCCCAAGCUUAACCUUUGCUCGUCCCUGAGCAAAGAUGAACUCAAGAGUUUCUACAGUGGUUUCAUAACUUAAAGAUACACAUGCGUUUAAAUAAGAUCUCAUCUCUGGUUAGAGUAAACUGUUAAGACUUAAAACUUACUCAUUUACCUUUCACCAUGGGGCUUGUAACCGUCACUUGUGUCUUGAGCAGUUAAAAGAUAGAACGGUCUAGUCAAGCACCAUGUCUAAUGUCCUUGAUCAACUAUAGCUCUGGAGUUUUUGCAGAUUUUCAAAUAAAACUCAGAGAUUCCUUGUAUGACUCUCUCUAGCCUCUCUUUUGUGGUAUUUCUGGAUCCUUACCAAGGCAGUAUUGGUAUAUGCCUUCUCUCAAAGUAUGUGGUAUUUUUGGUAUAAGGCAUAGUGACAUUGCCUUCUCUCUCACCCUACUCUAAUAAGGCUUUUGAUAUCUGGAGCUCAUAGGUGGGAGACAGCUAAUACAUACUUACAAGACAUUUAUUGUAUAGUCAAACCAUGGAUCCAAAGAAACAAAUCAAUAAGUCAAAUCAAGAUGUGCAUGUGUGGCAAAUGAAUGGUGUAUGGUGAUGAUGGUGAUAACAAUGGUGGAAGUCUAAUUCUACUUAUGCUCUUUUGAGGGGAUACAUACCUUUCUUGCUCUUUUAAAACUUUCAGGGAGAAUGAGAUGCUCUAUAUUUUCUUUUUCUUUUCUCUCAAACGGGUAUCCUGUACCCCUAAUUCUACUGUCGGACACUUGUCCAUUUUUACCUCUCGUCUCACUUUUUUUUUCUCUUUUUUUUCUCUCUCUCUUUUUUUUCUUUUCUUUCGAGGUUCCGGGCACUUGCCCCUUUUUAUUUCCUCAUAUUUAUUUUUUUUAGAGCACUCAUCUCUUGAGAUAAUAUAGCAAGUGGUAGUAAGAAGAUAACUUGAGCAUUUAUUUCAUAGGGGAAAAACAGAAAUAUUUUUGGUUAUUCUCUCCCGGAUUAGGAGUAGAAUAUUUUUAGGUGGUUCUGGAGAUGGAAAUGAGUGGAUAUAUGUGGAUGGUACUUCCGGAGUAGAAGUAGCAUAUGUGAGUGAACGUGCAAGUGAAUCUUGAUUUAACCACAUGACAAGCUCCUAAGGGUCUACACAGCUUGACCACACUCAAUGCUCAUAAGCAGUAAAAAGUAAAUGUGUGGUUCAUAGUCUAAUAAGCAUGUAUAUCUGGCUUUGGUAGGAAUUUAAACUCUCAUCAUACAGGAACUCAUCAUGCAACAUUUUAAAGAUUUUCAAAGAUAAAAUUCUCCAGAAUUCUAGUAUCUCUAGGAACAGAUAAACAGCAGCUCAACCUUCCCAUAUCGUAUCCGUUAACGACUUAGACUUUAGAUCAAAUACUCUCCCCACAAGUUCAGGUUUAGAGCAAAUCUUAAUUAAUAAUAGUCAUGCCUAAACUUGAGAGAGAUUUCAAUUUUAAGAACUAGUCAUGGCAGAGCAACUACUCAUCAUUUCCAUGUGAGAGCUUAUCAUGAGGGUUCAUAGCAAACUUUAUUUAUUUAUUUAUUUAGAAAACUAAGCAAAGAUAUAUAUAUAUAUAAGCACAAAAUCUUUAUUUGGGUUUAUAUGAUUAUACAUCUUUUUAUUAUUAGAGUAAAGUAUAAACGUGAGUAGAAUACUUAGCUGGAUAAAUGGGGGUGCUCUCCCCAAAGCUGGAUUUUGACGAAGUUUCUUCUGAUGUAGCUAGCAGGUGGUGGAGGUGUAUUUGAAUGUCAGCAGCAUCCUGACAGUGAUUAGGAUGUCCUCCGACAGCUAGUCUUCUUUGAUCCUUGAAUUCUGUGGAGCUCAAAUAGACAACAAAGCUUUGUGGAACUGGUUAUGUGUUAGCAUAAAUACCUAGCCUUUAUCAUGUUGAGCCUCCUCAAUAAAUGUUACUCAUUAGUAGGAUCAUAAUUUUAUUUUUAUAAUUUUAUUUUUUAUAGGACAGAAAUAUAUUUAUUUUAUUUUUAUGCCACCACAGUGAAUGUACUUAUGGGUUUUAUGCCAUGAGCAUACUCACAUGGGGCUUACUAUUUUUAUCAUUUUUAUUUUCUUUUCAAGAUAAUAUGAAUAUGAUUAACUAAGCAAACCAUUUUAAAAUAAUUGAAAGGAAAAAGAUAACUACCAAGUUUACCUCUUGGCAAGGCGUUCGGUGUUUUUAAGUCCUCCGAACGAGACUCUCCAUUUUCUCAGUUGUCCUGGGAUUCGCUGGAUGGCGUAGUCGGUGGUUCUGACGGUGCUUCCUCUUCGUGUAUAACUAUCUUCUCUUUCCACACCUGACUCGGUGCUACGGUCUCCUCAGGAUAGUUCUGUUCAAGCUGUAUGUCUUCAGACCUUACUACUUCUCCUUCAUAGUCUGCCCAUCCGUCCUUGAUGAUUUGCCUUCUCUGGAUGCGGUUGCGUCGUCUUCUUCUUGUCUUGACCUGCUUAGAGUCUUCAACUAUAUGGUUAGGGUCAGUAAAAUAGCAGCGUACCUUCUCAGAGGGGAAAUGCAUGUGGACUCCUCUGGUUCCAAUGUAGAUGAUUGCUUUAACGGUGCUGAGGAGCGGUCUUCCAAGGAUGACGGGUGGAUUGUACUCGUCUUCUCCCAUGACAAUAACCUUCAAAUCAUCUGGAGCUGAAUGUAUUUUGGUUGUAGGGGCAUGGUUCUAAAUAGGAGCUGAUAGGUGACUGCGGCCAUUGACAUCAGAUCCGGUGUCGUAGAGUGUCUUCUGAAAAGAAUAUCCGUUGAUUGUGCACUCGAUGCUUGGAACACCAGGGUCGUCCUUCUUGAACAAGAAAGGCGACUUGAGUUGACGAUCUUGACCUCCUUGAACUGCAGUGACCAUCUUAGCUAACUCAGUCCACAUUUGCUUGUUUCUGUUCCUCCUGUUGGUCCUCUUCCUUGGUUCAUGUCGGGAUUGCUUUGAGAUUUGUGUAAUCUUGUUCUUGAAGGAAAACGUCUCCUUCCUCCCUUUGAUGUAGAAACUGAUCUUGGCAGCACUAGCAUAGAUGACAGCUCCCGAGGUGUUCAAGAAUGGCCUCCCUAGGAUAAUGGAUGCCCUUUCAUCAAUACCAGUCUCUAUCACCACGAAGUCUGCUGGGGCGUACAAGGUACCAACUUGGAUGCAGAAGUUCUUCAAUAUUCCCUUUGGGAAACUUAGUAUCUGAUCUGCAAGCUGCAAACACAUGGCUGUUUCUAAUAAAGGAUGUGUAAAGAAUUUAUCAUAGAGUACCCUGGGCGUAAUGUUGACACUGGAGCCAAAGUCGCAGAGUGCUUCUAGGAAGUCCACCAUGCCGAUGGAGAUCGGGAUGACGGGGCGUCUUGGAUCGUCUCUCUUGACCGGCAGAAGGUCAGUAAUUACUUCCACUAUGGGGUUACUCCAGUAGUUACGUCCUCAAGCAUCUCAGGGCAGUGAUUGCCUGAGUGUCCAGUCUCUCCAGUGUGUUUGUGCUCGUAGAUCUAGGUUCUUCACUUGGUGGAGUCUGGGAGUUGUAAAAGUCCUUCAUAUGCUGCUCGAAGUGUACCUGCUCAUAAAGACAAGGCAGAGAUCAAGUGCAUGGGCCCUGUUGGUGGAAAACACCAACAGAACCAAAAGUGUAUUUGCUCUUCUCUAUCCUUAAGCAUAGUGAGCAAGACACAGUUGAUGAAUAAUAAGAUCAUGAGUGUAGCAUUUAAAGCAUUUGUCAGAUCAGAUCGCUCAACCUAAUGGAA
RNAcentral lists this long non-coding RNA (44058 nucleotides) under Sorghum bicolor (sorghum). RNAcentral describes it as "long non-coding RNA (SBIC_LNC014221)". The record is from RNAcentral. Lineage: Eukaryota; Viridiplantae; Streptophyta; Magnoliopsida; Poales; Poaceae.